GGGUUGUGAGGUUAAGCGACUAAGCGUACACGGUGGAUGCCCUGGCAGUCAGAGGCGAUGAAGGGCGUGCUAAUCUGCGAUAAGCGCCGGUAAGGUGAUAUGAACCGUUAUAACCGGCGAUACCCGAAUGGGGAAACCCAGUGUGACUCGUCACACUAUCAUUAACUGAAUCCAUAGGUUAAUGAGGCGAACCGGGGGAACUGAAACAUCUAAGUACCCCGAGGAAAAGAAAUCAACCGAGAUUCCCCCAGUAGCGGCGAGCGAACGGGGAGGAGCCCAGAGCCUGAAUCAGCAUGUGUGUUAGUGGAAGCGUCUGGAAAGUCGCGCGAUACAGGGUGACAGCCCCGUACACAAAAGCGCAUGUGCUGUGAGCUCGAUGAGUAGGGCGGGACACGUGGUAUCCUGUCUGAAUAUGGGGGGACCAUCCUCCAAGGCUAAAUACUCCUGACUGACCGAUAGUGAACCAGUACCGUGAGGGAAAGGCGAAAAGAACCCCGGCGAGGGGAGUGAAAAAGAACCUGAAACCGUGUACGUACAAGCAGUGGGAGCCCCACCACCAAAGCAUUCUCUGGUGUUGAAGGCCCUGCAAAGCAGCAUCGCGGUGGCGGAGCGUCGUUUGCGACGCCCAACACACAAAACAAGCGAUGAGUGCUUUGGGGUGGGGUGACUGCGUACCUUUUGUAUAAUGGGUCAGCGACUUAUAUUCUGUAGCAAGGUUAACCGAAUAGGGGAGCCGGAGGGAAACCGAGUCUUAAUUGGGCGUUAAGUUGCAGGGUAUAGACCCGAAACCCGGUGAUCUAGCCAUGGGCAGGUUGAAGGUUGGGUAACACUAACUGGAGGACCGAACCGACUAAUGUUGAAAAAUUAGCGGAUGACCUGUGGCUGGGGGUGA
RNAcentral lists this ribosomal RNA (892 nucleotides) under Salmonella enterica. RNAcentral describes it as "partial 23S ribosomal RNA". It matches the Rfam family "Bacterial large subunit ribosomal RNA", at positions 1 to 824 of the family's 2925-position model. The record is from RNAcentral. Lineage: Bacteria; Pseudomonadati; Pseudomonadota; Gammaproteobacteria; Enterobacterales; Enterobacteriaceae.